GGAGAAACAAACACUCAUCUAUAAUGAGCACAUGGUGUGUAGAAAUCCCAUUUGUCUUAAGAGGGAGAGUUUAUGCCAUAUCAUUUCUGUAUCCUGGCACCCAGCACAUAUUAGGUAUCUUAGGCCUGCCACCCAUUCUUAAGGGGGAAAAAUACACUUGACUUUGCUAAAAUCAACAAAUCUGUGUGUUUGUAACUCCAGUGCAAUCUGAUGCGCUCCAAGAGACAACCAAAGCAGACCAGGAGUCAACCGCGAAGCUAAAAGACAUUUUAAUAGGUAAGUCUCUGUCUCUAUAACAGAUACAGCCCAGAGAAAUUUCUGGCAUCAGGUCUACAUGAUGCCUCUGUGCACAAAGACAAGCCCAGAAGAAGCAGACAUUCAUUUGUUCACCUGAACACAACGCAUAAAUGAGGUGAACACUGCACGCUAACACAGAGUCUGUGCAAUAGUAGAUUUUGCUGCCUCACUAUACAUGGCUUCCUUCCUGGCCCACCCACUUUCCUAUGAGAAGCUGAGCCCCUCAGCAAAACUUCCGCACUUUAGGAAUUAUACAAGGGUAAUGGGGGAAGAGAGGAAGAGGUGGGAACUUUUUUAAUGACAUGGCUUUUCUGCUGAUGUGAUUCUCCUGCUCCAAAAUUAGAAACCAAGAUAGAGAGAGGCAA
This is a long non-coding RNA of Pipistrellus kuhlii (Kuhl's pipistrelle), 662 nucleotides long. RefSeq lists it as uncharacterized. Lineage: Eukaryota; Metazoa; Chordata; Mammalia; Chiroptera; Vespertilionidae. The transcript has 3 exons. The record is from RefSeq and is a predicted model, not a curated record.